CGGCCUUGACAUACUAAGAACUUUCCAGAGAUGGAUUGGUGCCUUCGGGAACUUAGAUACAGGUGCUGCAUGGCUGUCGUCAGCUCGUGUCGCGAGAUGUUGGGUUAAGUCCCGNAACGAGCGCAACCCUUUUCCUUAUUUGCCAGCGGGUCAUGCCGGGAACUUUAAGGAUACUGCCAGUGACAAACUGGAGGAAGGCGGGGACGACGUCAAGUCAUCAUGGCCCUUACGGCCAGGGCUACACACGUGCUACAAUGGUCGGUACAAAGGGUUGCUACCUCGCGAGAGGAUGCUAAUCUCAAAAAGCCGAUCGUAGUCCGGAUCGCAGUCUGCAACUCGACUGCGUGAAGUCGGAAUCGCUAGUAAUCGCGGAUCAGAAUGCCGCGGUGAAUACGUUCCCGGGCCUUGUACACACCGCCCGUCACACCAUGGGAGUUUGUUGCACCAGAAGUAGGUAGUCUAACCGCAAGGAGGACGCUUACCACGGUGUGGCCGAUGACUGGGGUGAAGUCGUAACAAGGUAGGCGUAGAUGA
RNAcentral lists this ribosomal RNA (534 nucleotides) under uncultured bacterium. RNAcentral describes it as "bacterial SSU rRNA". It matches the Rfam family "Bacterial small subunit ribosomal RNA", at positions 976 to 1509 of the family's 1533-position model. The record is from RNAcentral.